RNAcentral lists this ribosomal RNA (532 nucleotides) under uncultured bacterium. RNAcentral's name for it is "partial 16S ribosomal RNA". It matches the Rfam family "Bacterial small subunit ribosomal RNA", at positions 28 to 539 of the family's 1533-position model. The record is from RNAcentral.
GAUGAACGCUGGCGGCGUGCCUAAUACAUGCAAGUCGAGCGAACAGAUGAGGAGCUUGCUCCUCUGACGUUAGCGGCGGACGGGUGAGUAACACGUGGAUAACCUACCUAUAAGACUGGGAUAACUUCGGGAAACCGGAGCUAAUACCGGAUAAUAUAUUGAACCGCAUGGUUCAAUAGUGAAAGACGGUUUUGCUGUCACUUAUAGAUGGAUCCGCGCCGCAUUAGCUAGUUGGUAAGGUAACGGCUUACCAAGGCGACGAUGCGUAGCCGACCUGAGAGGGGGAGCGACAAACAGGGAUCCGAAACUAGCUACAGACUUGUAGGGGGAGCACGAGUGGGGAUUCCCGCGCAAGGGGCGAAAGCCGGAGGGAUCAACGGAGGGGUGUGGAAGAUGUUAUGGGUUUAGUAAAUUUCUUUUAUUGGGAAAAAAAAAAUGUGUAACUAAAUGGACCCGUCGCGACGAUAAGUAAUAAAAAACCCACCGCUAACAACGUGCCAGCGGCCGCGGUAUGAGAUGCCAACGGGUAAAC